UCCCUUGUGGCUCAGCUGGUAAAGAAUCUGCCUGGAAUGCAGGAGACCUGGGUUUGAUCCCUGGUUUGGGAA
RNAcentral lists this transfer RNA (72 nucleotides) under Bos taurus (domestic cattle). It matches the Rfam family "tRNA". From Rfam's summary of the family: Transfer RNA (tRNA) molecules are approximately 80 nucleotides in length. Lineage: Eukaryota; Metazoa; Chordata; Mammalia; Artiodactyla; Bovidae. The record is from Rfam by way of RNAcentral. RNAcentral also lists the same sequence under 2 other names.